GAUGAACGCUAGCGGCAGGCCUAAUACAUGCAAGUCGGACGGUAGACGAUCUUUCGGGAUUGUUGAGAGUGGCGCACGGGUGCGUGACGCGUAUGCAACCUACCUUAUACUGUGGGAUAGCCCGGGGAAACCCGGAUUAAUACCGCAUGGUACCAUCAGAUGGCAUCUGAAGAUGGUUAAAGCCCCGGCAUCUGUCGGGGCGGUAUAAGAUGGGCAUGCGUAGGAUUAGCUGGUUGGCGGGGUAACGGCCCACCAAGGCGACGAUGGAUAGGGGAACUGAGAGGUUUAUCCCCCACACUGGUACUGAGACACGGUCCAGACUCCUACGGGAGGCAGCAGUGGGGAAUAUUGCACAAUGGGCGAAAGCCUGAUGCAGCAACGCCGCGUGAGCGAUGAAGGCCUUCGGUCGUAAGCUCUGUCCUAUGGAAGAUAAUGACGGUACCAUAGGAGGAAGCCCCGGCUAACUACGUGCCAGCAGCCGCG
RNAcentral lists this ribosomal RNA (483 nucleotides) under uncultured bacterium. Its description in RNAcentral is "bacterial SSU rRNA". It matches the Rfam family "Bacterial small subunit ribosomal RNA", at positions 28 to 519 of the family's 1533-position model. The record is from RNAcentral.